AUUGAACGCUGGCGGCAUGCCUUACACAUGCAAGUCGAACGGCAGCACGGACUUCGGUCUGGUGGCGAGUGGCGAACGGGUGAGUAAUAUAUCGGAACAUACCUUGUAGUGGGGGAUAACUAUCCGAAAGGAUAGCUAAUACCGCAUACGCUCUAAGGAGGAAAGCGGGGGAUCGUAAGACCUCGUGCUAUAAGAGUGGCCGAUAUCUGAUUAGCUAGUUGGUGAGGUAAAGGCUCACCAAGGCGACGAUCAGUAGCUGGUCUGAGAGGACGACCAGCCACACUGGAACUGAGACACGGUCCAGACUCCUACGGGAGGCAGCAGUGGGGAAUUUUGGACAAUGGGGGCAACCCUGAUCCAGCAAUGCCGCGUGAGUGAAGAAGGCCUUCGGGUUGUAAAGCUCUUUUGUCAGGGAAGAAACGGUUGUGGCUAAUAUCCAUGGCUAAUGACGGUACCUGAAGAAUAAGCACCGGCUAACUACGUGCCAGCAGCCGCGGUAA
Molecule: ribosomal RNA, 500 nt
Filed under: uncultured bacterium
Lineage: Bacteria
Description: partial 16S ribosomal RNA
Rfam family: Bacterial small subunit ribosomal RNA
Source: RNAcentral